GGUGGUGGCUCAGAGGUAGAGCACUUGCCUAGCAUGUGUGAGGCACUGGGUUCCAUCCCCAGCAUCA
Molecule: transfer RNA, 67 nt
Filed under: Marmota monax (woodchuck)
Lineage: Eukaryota; Metazoa; Chordata; Mammalia; Rodentia; Sciuridae
Description: tRNA.Ala
Source: RNAcentral